Ipomoea nil (Japanese morning glory) is the source of this 109-nucleotide non-coding RNA. Lineage: Eukaryota; Viridiplantae; Streptophyta; Magnoliopsida; Solanales; Convolvulaceae. The record is from Rfam.
AAAAGCCGUGUGCAAUGAAAAAUGCAAGCACGGUUUGGGGAGGGGUUUUGAAUUAAAGAAAGUAAAUUUAUUCCAUUUUUGACUUUCACAAAAACAUUAUCUACUCCAU